Molecule: long non-coding RNA, 125 nt
Organism: Etheostoma cragini (Arkansas darter)
Lineage: Eukaryota; Metazoa; Chordata; Actinopteri; Perciformes; Percidae
Exons: 4
Source: RefSeq, a predicted model, not a curated record
UUGUUGACACAUAUUUUACAACAGACCAAUACUACAGAGCCAACUGCGAUCCAUACACAGGUGCUCAGAAGGCUUCCUAUCAUCCUUGGGGACAACCACAAAAAGUUGUUCAAAGCAGGCUUUGC